UGAGGAAUUUUGGACAAUGGGGGAAACCCUGAUCCAGCGACGCCGCGUGAGGGAUGAAGGUCUUCGGAUUGUAAACCUCUUUUGUUCGGGAAUAAGAAAGUCUUGGAAACAAGAUAAGUGAAUGUACCGGAUGAAUAAGCCACGGCUAACUUCGUGCCAGCAGCCGCGGUAAUACGAAGGUGGCAAGCGUUACUCGGAAUUACUAGGCGUAAAGGGCAGGUAGGUGGUUUGGUAAGUUUGUUGUGAAAGCUCCUGGCUUAACUGGGAGAGGUCAACAAAUACUGCCAGGCUUGAGUAUGGGAGAGGUUACUGGAAUUCCCGGUGUAGCGGUGAAAUGCGCAGAGAUCGGGAGGAACACCAAUGGCGAAAGCAGGUAACUGGACCAUUACUGACACUAAGCUGCGAAAGCUAGGGGAGCAAACAGGAUUAGAUACCCCUGUAGUCC
This 445-nucleotide ribosomal RNA is filed under the name uncultured bacterium. RNAcentral's name for it is "bacterial SSU rRNA". It matches the Rfam family "Bacterial small subunit ribosomal RNA", at positions 355 to 796 of the family's 1533-position model. The record is from RNAcentral.